GGAAACGUGCCUGAACAAAGGGCCACUUUGAUAGAGUGGACCAUGAGGACUAAGACCCCUCCGCUUCCU
Molecule: transfer RNA, 69 nt
Filed under: Moringua javanica (Java spaghetti eel)
Lineage: Eukaryota; Metazoa; Chordata; Actinopteri; Anguilliformes; Moringuidae
Description: tRNA-Ile
Source: RNAcentral